UGGGGAAUAUUGGACAAUGGGGGGAACCCUGAUCCAGCCAUGCCGCGUGUGUGAAGAAGGCCUUAUGGUUGUAAAGCACUUUAAGCGAGGAGGAGGCUACUGAGACUAAUACUCUUGGAUNGNGGACGUUACUCGCAGAAUAAGCACCGGCUAACUCUGUGCCAGCAGCCGCGGUAA
RNAcentral lists this ribosomal RNA (177 nucleotides) under uncultured Acinetobacter sp. Its description in RNAcentral is "partial 16S ribosomal RNA". It matches the Rfam family "Bacterial small subunit ribosomal RNA", at positions 355 to 523 of the family's 1533-position model. Lineage: Bacteria; Pseudomonadati; Pseudomonadota; Gammaproteobacteria; Moraxellales; Moraxellaceae. The record is from RNAcentral.